RNAcentral lists this ribosomal RNA (497 nucleotides) under uncultured bacterium. RNAcentral describes it as "partial 16S ribosomal RNA". It matches the Rfam family "Bacterial small subunit ribosomal RNA", at positions 28 to 507 of the family's 1533-position model. The record is from RNAcentral.
GAUGAACGCUGGCGGCGUGCCUAAUACAUGCAAGUCGAGCGAACAGACGAGGAGCUUGCUCCUCUGACGUUAGCGGCGGACGGGUGAGUAACACGUGGAUAACCUACCUAUAAGACUGGGAUAACUUCGGGAAACCGGAUCUAAUACCGGAUAAUAUAUUGAACCGCAUGGAUCAAUAGUGAAAGACGGUUUUGCUGUCACUUAGAGAUGGUUCCGGGCCGCAUUAGCUAGUUGGUAAGGUAACGGCUUACCAAGGCAACGAUGCGUAGCCGACCUGAGAGGAUGAUCGGCCACACUGGAACUGAGACACGGUCCAGACUCCUACGGGAGGCAGCAGUAGGGAAUAUUCCGCAAUGGGCGAAAGCCUGACGCAGCAACGCCGCGUGAGUGAUGAAGGUCUUCGGAUCGUAAAGCUCUGUUAUUAGGGAAGAACAAAUGUGUAAGUAACUAUGCACGUCUUGACGGUACCUAAUCAGAAAGCCACGGCUAACUACGUG